Dicentrarchus labrax (European seabass) is the source of this 1001-nucleotide long non-coding RNA. RefSeq lists it as uncharacterized. The record is from RefSeq and is a predicted model, not a curated record. Lineage: Eukaryota; Metazoa; Chordata; Actinopteri; Moronidae. The transcript is spliced from 5 exons.
AAGAAGACGACUACUGCUUCUUCGGGGCUUUUAACAGGAGGCUGUGCAGCUGUAACGCUAGUUGUUAUUAGUGUUCGUUAAUAACGUAUUCAUAACAUUUUACUUCCUUGUAGGAGUGUUAGAGAUUCACUGACAGUUUAUUGGGGACGGCUAACGUUAGGUUAGCUCACCCUCCUCAGGACAACAUGGUGAAAACUGGAACGAUGGAGCUUUUCUACUUGUGCAUCUGGCUGCUGACUGUUUCUGGAAAGUUACUUGGACAUGCAAACGGGACAGAUGUGGUGUUUGUAAAAGAAGGGAGCGAUGCCGUGUUACCCUGCUUCUCUCCCACCAACCUGGUAGAUAAACUCUUUGACUGGAGGAAAAUUGUUCUCAAAGGUGGUAAGCAGGAGAUGAAGGAGGUGUUCCUGUAUCAUUCCAAGGAUCAUUACAAUAACGGCCGUCUUGGUCAGGACGAGCAGUUCAAAGGUCGAGUCUUACAUUUUGAGGGGAGCGCUGAAGGACGGCAACGCCUCCAUAAUCAUCCAAAAUACGACGCUGGACGACAGUGGAGAUUUCACUUGUGCCUUUCCUCAUCUUCAGCCCAACACACUGACCUCAGUUAGGCUCAUCGUUGUUCCUGUCCUCAGAGACCGAUCAGGAGAAACCAGACUUGCAGUUUCAAGGCCUUUCAUCACAAUCGCUGAUGUCACACAGUUCGGGGUGCUGCUCAGGUGUGACGUGCAAGAUGCUAAAUUACUGCCAAAGCUCCAAUGGCAGGACAGUGACGGAAACAUCCUUCCUGCUGAGGAGACUCAAGCCUCAGAGAGAGGAGGCCGCUCUGACAUCACCCUCCAAACUACUGUGAGCAAGACCAAAACCAACCGCUUCCACUGCGUAGCCACACAGGAGGAGAUCGGCCAUGUGAUUGACCGUAACAUCACUGUGUCAGAGAAACUGUUUGAGGACAAAUGCAGCGCAGUGGACAUCACAGGAUGGUUAGGUGGAUUCUUUUUGGGAGU